AACGAACGCUGGCGGCAUGCCUAACACAUGCAAGUCGAACGAGACCUUCGGGUCUAGUGGCGCACGGGUGCGUAACGCGUGGGAACCUGCCCUUAGGUUCGGAAUAACUCCCCGAAAGGGGUGCUAAUACCGGAUAAUGUCUUCGGACCAAAGAUUUAUCGCCUUUGGAUGGGCCCGCGUUGGAUUAGCUAGUUGGUAGGGUAAAAGCCUACCAAGGCGACGAUCCAUAGCUGGUCUGAGAGGAUGAUCAGCCACACUGGGACUGAGACACGGCCCAGACUCCUACGGGAGGAAGCAGUGGGGAAUAUUGGACAAUGGGCGAAAGCCUGAUCCAGCAAUGCCGCGUGAGUGAUGAAGGCCUUAGGGUGGUAAAGCUCUUUUACCCGGGAUGAUAAUGACAGUACCGGGAGAAUAAGCUCCGGCUAACUCCGU
Molecule: ribosomal RNA, 432 nt
Filed under: uncultured bacterium
Lineage: Bacteria
Description: partial 16S ribosomal RNA
Rfam family: Bacterial small subunit ribosomal RNA
Source: RNAcentral